RNAcentral lists this small nucleolar RNA (132 nucleotides) under Castor canadensis (American beaver). Its description in RNAcentral is "Small nucleolar RNA SNORA51 (ENSCCNG00000011934.1)". It matches the Rfam family "Small nucleolar RNA SNORA51". From Rfam's summary of the family: ACA51 is a member of the H/ACA class of snoRNA that guide the sites of modification of uridines to pseudouridines. Lineage: Eukaryota; Metazoa; Chordata; Mammalia; Rodentia; Castoridae. The record is from Rfam by way of RNAcentral.
AGCCUCCUGGUGCAUACCACAGGCUGUGUUCUUACAUUGACUGUACAGGAAGAGGAGAGAAAGUAAACCCAGCCCAUAUAUACCACAGCCCCGGCCCUGUGCCUGGUCUGUAUUGUGAAUGAGAAUACUUGG